GUGCCAGCCGCCGCGGUAAUACGGAGGGUGCAAGCGUUAAUCGGAAUCACUGGGCGUAAAGCGCGCGUAGGCGGCCGGAUAAGUCAGAUGUGAAAGCCCCGGGCUUAACCUGGGAAUGGCAUUUGAUGCUGUUCGGCUCGAGUAUGGUAGAGGGGGGUGGAAUUCCAGGUGUAGCGGUGAAAUGCGUAGAUAUCUGGAGGAACAUCAGUGGCGAAGGCGACCCCCUGGACCAAUACUGACGCUGAGGUGCGAAAGCGUGGGGAGCAAACAGGAUUAGAAACCCCCGUAGUCC
Molecule: ribosomal RNA, 292 nt
Filed under: uncultured prokaryote
Description: partial 16S ribosomal RNA
Rfam family: Bacterial small subunit ribosomal RNA
Source: RNAcentral